GCUGGAGUAGCUCAGCCGGACAGAGCGUGUAGCUGUUAACCACAAGGUCGGAGGUUCGAACCUUCCCUCUAGCG
Selaginella moellendorffii is the source of this 74-nucleotide transfer RNA. It matches the Rfam family "tRNA". Rfam says of the family: Transfer RNA (tRNA) molecules are approximately 80 nucleotides in length. Their secondary structure includes four short double-helical elements and three loops (D, anti-codon, and T loops). Further hydrogen bonds mediate the characteristic L-shaped molecular structure. tRNAs have two regions of fundamental functional importance: the anti-codon, which is responsible for specific mRNA codon recognition, and the 3' end, to which the tRNAs corresponding amino acid is attached (by aminoacyl-tRNA synthetases). tRNAs cope with the degeneracy of the genetic code in two manners: having more than one tRNA (with a specific anti-codon) for a particular amino acid; and 'wobble' base-pairing, i.e. permitting non-standard base-pairing at the 3rd anti-codon position. NCBI's taxonomy places the organism in Eukaryota, Viridiplantae, Streptophyta, Lycopodiopsida, Selaginellales, Selaginellaceae. The record is from Rfam.